CUGGUACACUGUUGGAGAGAUGAGACAGUCACAGCAGCUGCCCCUAGUGGGGCUCUUACUGUUUUCUCUUAUUCCAAGCCAACUAUGUGAGAUCUGUGAGGUAAGUGAAGAAAACUACAUCCGCCUAAAACCUCUGUUGAAUACAAUGAUCCAGUCAAACUAUAACAGGGGAACCAGUGCUGUCAAUGUUGUGUUGUCCCUCAAACUUGUUGGAAUCCAGAUCCAAACCCUGAUGAAAAAGAUGAUCCAACAAAUCAAAUACAAUGUGAAAAGCAGAUUGUCAGAUGUAAGCUCGGGAGAGCUUGCCUUGAUUAUACUGGCUUUGGGAGUAUGUCAUAACCCUGAGGAAAACUUAAUAUAUGAUUACCACCUGAUUGACAAGCUAGAAAACAAAUUCCAAGCAGAAAUUGAAAAUAUGGAAGCACACAAUGGCACUCCCCUGACUAACUACUACCAGCUCAGCCUGGACGUUUUGGCCUUGUGUCUGUUCAAUGGGAACUACUCAACCGCCGAAGUUGUCAACCACUUCACUCCUGAAAAUAAAAACUAUUAUUUUGGUAGCCAGUUCUCAGUAGGUAACUUCAACAUCUCCAGUGAUGAGCCUGUAACUGUAACACCUCCUGACUCACAAUCAUAUAUCUCAGUCAAUUACUCUGUGAGAAUCAAUGAAACAUAUUUCGCCAAUGUCACUGUGCUAAAUGGCUCUGUCUUCCUCCGUGUGAUGGAGAAAGCCCAGAAAAUGAAU
Molecule: small RNA, 745 nt
Filed under: Pongo abelii (Sumatran orangutan)
Lineage: Eukaryota; Metazoa; Chordata; Mammalia; Primates; Hominidae
Description: processed transcript
Source: RNAcentral